AACGAUUUUUGUUUUUUUCUUUUUAUCAUUUUCACCCGAUUCUUUCUUUUUUCAUAUAUUAUCAUCAUCAUAAACUCAUGAGCAUCAUCUUAAUUAUCAUAAAAUUCACGUGCUAUAAUGGGUACGUUACACGUGGAAUCAGAAUCGGUCGAUUCAUGAACCACAAAGUCGGAAUUAUCGACGUUCGCGGGAAAAGAAGAUCCAUUGGCAUGGUUCAAUCAUUUUGAAAAGGUCUUUAAA
Molecule: long non-coding RNA, 240 nt
Filed under: Linum usitatissimum (flax)
Lineage: Eukaryota; Viridiplantae; Streptophyta; Magnoliopsida; Malpighiales; Linaceae
Description: long non-coding RNA (LUSI_LNC005758)
Source: RNAcentral